GAAGGGGACAAAUAGAGUUCAAGGGGAGCAAAUGCUCUAUAAUUUAGUUUGAGUGUUUCAAAAAAUAUAGGAAAAAUUAGAGGGAAAGUUUGAAGUUGAGUCAUCUUUUUAGACUUUAUAAGUAAAAUGAGAGUGGGCAGGAUCUUUUUCGGGUCGUCAGGAUUAGGUGUUUUUUAAGUUCAGGAUGUCAGGAUUUGAUAUUUUUUUUAUUCCAGAGUGAGACCUCAGAAUUUCAUGUUUUAAAGCUGGGGUUUUCAGGAUCAGGACCCCUCCGAUCCCCCCUCUCACACAAUGACUUAUUUAGACUUACCUUCUAAUUCUAUAAAAAUCACAACUCAUAUCAGGAACAAAAACACUAUGUCUACUGAUAUGCAAACCUAAAAACAGACACAAAAAUAUCAUAAAAUAGUGAUUGAAAGAUUGAUUGCACUUUGAAUGUAUAUGUAUAAUUCCGAC
RNAcentral lists this long non-coding RNA (456 nucleotides) under Mytilus galloprovincialis (Mediterranean mussel). Lineage: Eukaryota; Metazoa; Mollusca; Bivalvia; Mytilida; Mytilidae. The record is from RNAcentral.